UACGGAGGGUGCAGGCGUUAUCCGGAAUCACUGGGUUUAAAGGGUGCGUAGGCGGCUUGAUAAGUCAGAGGUGAAAGCCCACGGCUCAACUGUGGAACUGCCUUUGAUACUGUCAGGCUUGAAUUGGGUUGAGGCAGGCGGAAUGUGGCAUGUAGCGGUGAAAUGCUUAGAUAUGCCAUAGAACACAGAUUGCGAAGGCAGCCUGCCAAGCCUUGAUUGACGCUGAGGCACGAAAGCGUGGGGAGCGAACAGG
Molecule: ribosomal RNA, 253 nt
Filed under: uncultured bacterium
Lineage: Bacteria
Description: partial 16S ribosomal RNA
Rfam family: Bacterial small subunit ribosomal RNA
Source: RNAcentral